AUUUGAUAAAAAGUUCAAACCAAUAUUUUGGCAUAAUGAUAUUGAAGAAAUAAUAUCAUUUAUGAAGAAAAUAAUCUCCCUUACCUCAGAAAGAAUAGUACUUCUGACUGGAAUACUGGAUAUAGUGCUAAAAGAACUUGCACCGUAUAGCAAUACUUGAAGUACUAAAAUACUCACAAAAAUACGCUCGAUAUAUAGAGAGAGAAAGAGAGA
RNAcentral lists this long non-coding RNA (213 nucleotides) under Panax ginseng (ginseng). Its description in RNAcentral is "long non-coding RNA (PGIN_LNC008752)". The record is from RNAcentral. Lineage: Eukaryota; Viridiplantae; Streptophyta; Magnoliopsida; Apiales; Araliaceae.